UCCAGGCCCUACGGGGGGCAGCAGGCGCGAAACCUCCGCAAUGUGAGAAAUCGCGACGGGGGGAUCCCAAGUGCCAUUCUUAACGGGAUGGCUUUUCAUUAGUGUAAAGAGCUUUUGGAAUAAGAGCUGGGCAAGACCGGUGCCAGCCGCCGCGGUAACACCGGCAGCUCUAGUGGUAGCAGUUUUUAUUGGGCCUAAAGCGUCCGUAGCCGGUUUAAUAAGUCUCUGGUGAAAUCCUGCAGCUUAACUGUGGGAAUUGCUGGAGAUACUAUUAGACUUGAGAUCGGGAGAGGUUAGAGGUACUCCCAGGGUAGAGGUGAAAUUCUGUAAUCCUGGGAGGACCGCCUGUUGCGAAGGCGUCUGACUGGAACGAUUCUGACGGUGAGGGACGAAAGCUAGGGGCGCGAACCGGAUUAGAUACCCGGGUAGUCCUAGCUGUAAACGAUGCGGACUUGGUGUUGGGGUGGCUUUGAGCUGUCCCAGUGUCGAAGGGAAGCUGUUAAGUCCGCCGCCUGGGAAGUACGGUCGCAAGACUGAAGCUUAAAGGAAUUGGCGGGGGAGCACCACAACGCGUGGAGCCUGCGGUUUAAUUGGAGUCAACGCCGG
This 606-nucleotide ribosomal RNA is filed under the name uncultured archaeon. RNAcentral's name for it is "bacterial SSU rRNA". It matches the Rfam family "Archaeal small subunit ribosomal RNA", at positions 315 to 921 of the family's 1478-position model. The record is from RNAcentral.